Molecule: ribosomal RNA, 491 nt
Filed under: uncultured bacterium
Lineage: Bacteria
Description: partial 16S ribosomal RNA
Rfam family: Bacterial small subunit ribosomal RNA
Source: RNAcentral
GAUGAACGCUGGCUACAGGCUUAACACAUGCAAGUCGAGGGGAAACGCCGGGGAAGCUUGCUUCCCCGGGCGUCGACCGGCGCACGGGUGAGUAACGCGUAUCCAACCUGCCUCUGACUGAGGGAUAACCCGUCGAAAGUCGGCCUAAUACCUCAUGGCAUCGUCUGCGGGCAUCCAACGACGAUUAAAGAUUUCAUCGGUCAGGGAUGGGGAUGCGUCUGAUUAGCUUGUUGGCGGGGUAACGGCCCACCAAGGCUACGAUCAGUAGGGGUUCUGAGAGGAAGGUCCCCCACAUUGGAACUGAGACACGGUCCAAACUCCUACGGGAGGCAGCAGUGCGGAAGAUUGGUCAAUGGGCGGGAGCCUGAACCAGCCAAGUAGCGUGCAGGAUGACGGCCCUAUGGGUUGUAAACUGCUUUUAUGCGGGGAUAAAGUGAGGGACGUGUCCUUCAUUGCAGGUACCGCAUGAAUAAGGACCGGCUAAUUCCGUG